GAUUCCCCCAGUAGCGGCGAGCGAACGGGGAGCAGCCCAGAGCCUGAAUCAGUAUGUGUGUUAGUGGAAGCGUCUGGAAAGGCGCGCGAUACAGGGUGACAGCCCCGUACACAAAAAUGCACAUGCUGUGAGCUCGAUGAGUAGGGCGGGACACGUGGUAUCCUGUCUGAAUAUGGGGGGACCAUCCUCCAAGGCUAAAUACUCCUGACUGACCGAUAGUGAACCAGUACCGUGAGGGAAAGGCGAAAAGAACCCCGGCGAGGGGAGUGAAAAAGAACCUGAAACCGUGUACGUACAAGCAGUGGGAGCACGCUUAGGCGUGUGACUGCGUACCUUUUGUAUAAUGGGUCAGCGACUUAUAUUCUGUAGCAAGGUUAACCGAAUAGGGGAGCCGAAGGGAAACCGAGUCUUAACUGGGCGUUAAGUUGCAGGGUAUAGACCCGAAACCCGGUGAUCUAGCCAUGGGCAGGUUGAAGGUUGGGUAACACUAACUGGAGGACCGAACCGACUAAUGUUGAAAAAUUAGCGGAUGACUUGUGGCUGGGGGUGAAAGGCCAAUCAAACCGGGAGAUAGCUGGUUCUCCCCGAAAGCUAUUUAGGUAGCGCCUCGUGAAUUCAUCUCCGGGGGUAGAGCACUGUUUCGGCAAGGGGGUCAUCCCGACUUACCAACCCGAUGCAAACUGCGAAUACCGGAGAAUGUUAUCACGGGAGACACACGGCGGGUGCUAACGUCCGUCGUGAAGAGGGAAACAACCCAGACCGCCAGCUAAGGUCCCAAAGUCAUGGUUAAGUGGGAAACGAUGUGGGAAGGCCCAGACAGCCAGGAUGUUGGCUUAGAAGCAGCCAUCAUUUAAAGAAAGCGUAAUAGCUCACUGGUCGAGUCGGCCUGCGCGGAAGAUGUAACGGGGCUAAACCAUGCACCGAAGCUGCGGCAGCGACGCUGAUGCGUUGUUGGGUAGGGGAGCGUUCUGUAAGCCUGCGAAGGUGUGCUGUGAGGCAUGCUGGAGGUAUCAGAAGUGCGAAUGCUGACAUAAGUAACGAUAAAGCGGGUGAAAAGCCCGCUCGCCGGAAGACCAAGGGUUCCUGUCCAACGUUAAUCGGGGCAGGGUGAGUCGACCCCUAAGGCGAGGCCGAAAGGCGUAGUCGAUGGGAAACAGGUUAAUAUUCCUGUACUUGGUGUUACUGCGAAGGGGGGACGGAGAAGGCUAUGUUGGCCGGGCGACGGUUGUCCCGGUUUAAGCGUGUAGGCUGGUUUUCCAGGCAAAUCCGGAAAAUCAAGGCUGAGGCGUGAUGACGAGGCACU
This 1303-nucleotide ribosomal RNA is filed under the name Escherichia coli. Its description in RNAcentral is "partial 23S ribosomal RNA". It matches the Rfam family "Bacterial large subunit ribosomal RNA", at positions 233 to 1578 of the family's 2925-position model. The record is from RNAcentral. Lineage: Bacteria; Pseudomonadati; Pseudomonadota; Gammaproteobacteria; Enterobacterales; Enterobacteriaceae.